RNAcentral lists this unclassified non-coding RNA (441 nucleotides) under uncultured Kickxellales. Its description in RNAcentral is "sequence contains 5.8S rRNA gene, ITS2, 28S rRNA gene". The record is from RNAcentral. Lineage: Eukaryota; Fungi; Kickxellomycota; Kickxellomycetes; Kickxellales.
AACGCACAUUGCACCGUUUACCUUUGGCUAACGGUAUGCCUGUUUGAGCGUCACUAUAACAAUCUCUCUCAACUCUGUUAGUGUGUUGUGAGGGGAUUUGGAUGAUCCGAGGGUUCUAACGUGAUUUCACGGUGGGAUACACGGUUGUCUGAAAUAUAGUGACACUAGUCUGACGACGAGAUAAUAGUCUUGGGAGCACAGUUUACUGUGAGACCAUGCUAGUCCGUUACGCUAAAUUCACACACCAUUAAGUUAGUGGGCCUAAUAACCCUCCUAAAUGGUUUGAAUGUAAUAGACUUGUAGUACUAGUAUCGUUUGAGUUGACGGACUUUGACCGCAAGGUCGAUGUCAAUAUCCGGGAAACGAACGGUCUCUCUAACGGGAGCACUAUUCAAUUAACCUUUUGACCUCAAAUCAGGUAGGAAGACCCGCUGAACUUAA